Molecule: long non-coding RNA, 934 nt
Organism: Brassica napus (rape)
Lineage: Eukaryota; Viridiplantae; Streptophyta; Magnoliopsida; Brassicales; Brassicaceae
Exons: 2
Source: RefSeq, a predicted model, not a curated record
AUCCUGCCAAAAAAAUAAGUAUCCUCAACAUGUUACAUAUGAUAACAACACACACCAAAACUAUCCUAUCGAAUUAGGCAAAUAGUAGGAGACACACAUAAAAAGAGUCAAUUCAGUUUCAUAAUAAGAAAAACAUUGCACUUUUUCUCAAUAUAAAUAGACUGUGUGACACUUUAGGCUCAACUGGUAUGAUGUCCCAAAAGCUAGAAUAAAAAAAUGCAGUAUGGUUAAAAGUAGAUGGGACCCAACCACGUUACAACACAAUCCAACAAUCUUAUCUCCCCAUCUAUGUUACCCAAAAAUAACAAGUCAGGAAAUGAAAAACUCCAUAGAUGAAGAAAUGUUAGUGUUCCAGAAAAAUAAAGAAAAAGAGAAUACUCGUAAUCAAGGCUUUCGAUGGGACAAGUGUUGGCUCCGACGAUUGCGAUCUGCGAAGUGGUGUUCUUUCGGUUCCUAGCGAGCAGAGGCUGUUGGAAUCCGACAGAUCCAUCAUCUAGAAUCCCAGAUAUCUUCCUCUCGUACGCGUAGUUCCCUCCUUCGACCUCUAUAUCAUGGUUUUCGCUCCGAUCAUCCAUCUCUUAUUUCCACCAACACACACAAUUUCGAUCCGGAUCAGAUGAAUUUCGAGAGGGUCGUAUUUUACUAUUGGUGUAAGAUCUCUGAGUCUCCGGGAAUCAAGAACCUCUCGCGCUCAGGCAAAUGUUAAAGUCUAUUUGUUUAUUGCUUUUUUUUUUUUUUUGGUUUUUUGCUUUAGGGAUGAAAGGUCAUGAGGAAGUUUUGUCGUUAUCUUUUUGACAUGAUUUUUGUUGUUUUCCUUCUCUUUUUUUUUUACAUGAUUUUUGUUGUGGGAGAUUGCAUCCUUUUUUUUUGUGCAUCCUAUAACUAAAAAAAUAAAGUGUGAUUAAAAAUCCAACUGAAAACAAAAAUUUUAAUA